Molecule: ribosomal RNA, 439 nt
Filed under: uncultured bacterium
Lineage: Bacteria
Description: partial 16S ribosomal RNA
Rfam family: Bacterial small subunit ribosomal RNA
Source: RNAcentral
CUACGGGAGGCUCCAGUGAGGAAUAUUGCACAAUGGGGGGAACCCUGAUGCAGCAACGCCGCGUGGAGGAUGACGCAUUUCGGUGUGUAAACUCCUUUUAUAUGUCAAGAAAAUGACGGUAGCAUAUGAAUAAGCACCGGCUAACUCCGUGCCAGCAGCCGCGGUAAUACGGAGGGUGCAAGCGUUACUCGGAAUCACUGGGCGUAAAGGACGCGUAGGCGGGUUGGAAAGUCAGGUGUGAAAUCCUACAGCUUAACUGUAGAACUGCACUUGAAACUUCUAAUCUAGAGUAUGGGAGGGGGAGAUGGAAUUAGUGGUGGAGGGGUAAAAUCCGUAGAUAUCACUAGGAAUACCUAAAGCGAAGGCGAUCUCCUGGAACGUUACUGACGCUAAGGCGUGAAAGCGUGGGGAGCAAACAGGAUUAGAUACCCUCGUAGUU